AUGCACGCUGGCGGCGUGCCUAAUACCUGCAAGUCGAGCGAACAGACGAGGAGCUUGCUCCUCUGACGUUAGCGGCGGACGGGUGAGUAACACGUGGAUAACCUACCUAUAAGACUGGGAUAACUUCGGGAAACCGGAGCUAAUACCGGAUAAUAUAUUGAACCGCAUGGUUCAAUAGUGAAAGACGGUUUUGCUGUCACUUAUAGAUGGAUCCGCGCCGCAUUAGCUAGUUGGUAAGGUAACGGCUUACCAAGGCAACGAUGCGUAGCCGACCUGAGAGGGUGAUCGGCCACACUGGAACUGAGACACGGUCCAGACUCCUACGGGAGGCAGCAGUAGGGAAUCUUCCGCAAUGGGCGAAAGCCUGACGGAGCAACGCCGCGUGAGUGAUGAAGGUCUUCGGAUCGUAAAACUCUGUUAUUAGGGAAGAACAAAUGUGCAAGUAACUAUGCACGUCUUGACGGUACCUAAUCAGAAAGCCACGGCUAACUACGUG
This 496-nucleotide ribosomal RNA is filed under the name uncultured bacterium. RNAcentral's name for it is "partial 16S ribosomal RNA". It matches the Rfam family "Bacterial small subunit ribosomal RNA", at positions 29 to 507 of the family's 1533-position model. The record is from RNAcentral.